This 500-nucleotide ribosomal RNA is filed under the name uncultured bacterium. Its description in RNAcentral is "partial 16S ribosomal RNA". It matches the Rfam family "Bacterial small subunit ribosomal RNA", at positions 28 to 523 of the family's 1533-position model. The record is from RNAcentral.
GAUGAACGCUGGCGGCGUGCUUAACACAUGCAAGUCGAACGGGAAUGUUUCGCUGAUGCGAUUUCGGUCAAAUCUUGAAGCAUUUUAGUGGCGGACGGGUGAGUAACGCGUGGGUAACCUGCCCUGUACAGGGGGACAACAGUUGGAAACGACUGCUAAUACCGCAUAAGCGCACAGCUUCGCAUGAAGCAGUGUGAAAAACUCCGGUGGUACAGGAUGGACCCGCGUCUGAGUAGAUAGUUGGUGAGGUAACGGCCCACCAAGUCAACGAUCAGUAGCCGGCCUGAGAGGGCGAACGGCCACAUUGGGACUGAGACACGGCCCAAACUCCUACGGGAGGCAGCAGUGGGGAAUAUUGCACAAUGGGAGAAACCCUGAUGCAGCGACGCCGCGUGAGUGAAGAAGUAUUUCGGUAUGUAAAGCUCUAUCAGCAGGGAAGAAAACAAUGACGGUACCUGACUAAGAAGCCCCGGCUAACUACGUGCCAGCCGCCGCCGUAA